This 492-nucleotide ribosomal RNA is filed under the name uncultured bacterium. Its description in RNAcentral is "partial 16S ribosomal RNA". It matches the Rfam family "Bacterial small subunit ribosomal RNA", at positions 29 to 507 of the family's 1533-position model. The record is from RNAcentral.
AGUGAACGCUGGCGGUAGGCCUAACACAUGCAAGUCGAACGGCAGCACAGUAAGAGCUUGCUCUUACGGGUGGCGAGUGGCGGACGGGUGAGGAAUACAUCGGAAUCUACUUUUUCGUGGGGGAUAACGUAGGGAAACUUACGCUACUACCGCAUACGACCUACGGGUGAAAGCAGGGGAUCUUCGGACCUUGCGCGAUUGAAUGAGCCGAUGUCGGAUUAGCUAGUUGGCGGGGUAAAGGCCCACCAAGGCGACGAUCCGUAGCUGGUCUGAGAGGAUGAUCAGCCACACUGGAACUGAGACACGGACCAGACUCCUACGGGAGGCAGCAGUGGGGAAUAUUGGACAAUGGGCGCAAGCCUGAUCCAGCCAUACCGCGUGGGUGAAGAAGGCCUUCGGGUUGUAAAGCCCUUUUGUUGGGAAAGAAAAGCAGCAGGUUAAUACCCCGCUGUUCUGACGGUACCCAAAGAAUAAGCACCGGCUAACUUCGUG